RNAcentral lists this ribosomal RNA (536 nucleotides) under Phylloporus luxiensis. RNAcentral's name for it is "partial large subunit ribosomal RNA". It matches the Rfam family "Eukaryotic large subunit ribosomal RNA", at positions 77 to 607 of the family's 3401-position model. Lineage: Eukaryota; Fungi; Basidiomycota; Agaricomycetes; Boletales; Boletaceae. The record is from RNAcentral.
CCCCUAGUAACUGCGAGUGAAGCGGGAAAAGCUCAAAUUUUGAAUCUGGCGGUCUUUGUGGCCGUCCGAGUUGUAAUCUAGAGAAGCGUGUUCCGCGCUGGACCGUGUACAAGUCUCCUGGAAGGGAGCAUCAUAGAGGGUGAGAAUCCCGUCUUUGACACGGACUGCCAGUGCUAUGUGAUGCGCUCUCGACGAGUCGAGUUGUUUGUGAAUGCAGCUCAAAAUGGGUGGUAAAUUCCAUCUAAAGCUAAAUACUGGCGAGAGACCGAUAGCGAACAAGUACCGUGAGGGAAAGAUGAAAAGAACUUUGGAAAGAGAGUUAAACAGUACGUGAAAUUGCUGAAAGGGAAACGCUUGAUGUCAGUCGCGUUCGCCAGGGAUCAACCUUGCGUUCAUUGCUCGGUGCAUUUCUUGGUUGGACGGGUCAGCAUCAGUUUCGAUCGAGGUAUAAUGGCGGAGGGAACGUGGCACCUCUAGGGGUGUGUUAUAGACUUUCGUCGUAUGCUUGGGUGGGGACUGAGGAACUCGACACGGAC